CUACUGGGGUAUCUAAUCCUGUUUGCUCCCCACGCUUUCGCACCUCAGCGUCAGUAAUGGACCAGUGAGCCGCCUUCGCCGCUGGUGUUCCUGCGAAUAUCUACGAAUUUCACCUCUACACUCGCAAUUCCACUCACCUCUUCCAUCCUCAAGACACCCAGUAUCAAAGGCAGUUCCGGGGUUGAGCCCCGGGAUUUCACCCCUGACUUAAAUGUCCGCCUACGUGCGCUUUACGCCCAGUAAUUCCGAACAACGCUAGCCCCCUUCGUAUUACCGCGGCUGCUGGCAC
Molecule: ribosomal RNA, 289 nt
Filed under: uncultured Hyphomicrobiales bacterium
Lineage: Bacteria; Pseudomonadati; Pseudomonadota; Alphaproteobacteria; Hyphomicrobiales
Description: uncultured Rhizobiales bacterium partial 16S ribosomal RNA
Source: RNAcentral